RNAcentral lists this ribosomal RNA (471 nucleotides) under Triticum aestivum (bread wheat). RNAcentral describes it as "partial small subunit ribosomal RNA". Lineage: Eukaryota; Viridiplantae; Streptophyta; Magnoliopsida; Poales; Poaceae. The record is from RNAcentral.
AUGACAAUGUUGUCGCGGAGUUCUGAUCCUCCCAUGGAUGUCCAAAAAGGCACUGCCUGGCCGGCGGCGACAGAGGAGGAGGAGCUGUCCUGCUGUACCGCGGCGUCGCUGAAAGUGUUCAUGGUGCUGUAUUCGCUGUAUAUGGUUGGCCUGAUCAUAUGGAUGUUCAAGGUUUGCGAAAAUUGGUGGCAGGCAUGGCCGGCUGUUUUUCUCGUGUUAGUCUGGGUAUUGGCACUCCUGGUGCUUGCCGGGCAACAUGCCAAAGUAACGUUGUCCGCGAGUUCUGAUCAUUGCCUGGACCUCGAGAAAGGCGCUGGGCCAACGCUGACCAAGGAGGAGGAGCUGGCCAAGGUGAACUCUCGCAUUGCCAAGGGUAUCAUGGUGGUUCUGACGAAAAAGACCAUGCAUUGGCAUGCAUCCAAAAAAGAGUGCAUAGUUAUUGUCGCUUCAUUGUUCCGUAUGGGCAUGUAA